RNAcentral lists this ribosomal RNA (557 nucleotides) under uncultured Hyphomicrobiales bacterium. RNAcentral's name for it is "bacterial SSU rRNA". It matches the Rfam family "Bacterial small subunit ribosomal RNA", at positions 117 to 710 of the family's 1533-position model. Lineage: Bacteria; Pseudomonadati; Pseudomonadota; Alphaproteobacteria; Hyphomicrobiales. The record is from RNAcentral.
AUAGGAAUCUACCUAGUAGUACGGAAUAAUUGUUGGAAACGGCAACUAAUACCGUAUACGCCCUACGGGGGAAAAAUUUAUUGCUAUUAGAUGAGCCUAUAUUAGAUUAGUUAGUUGGUGAGGUAAAGGCUUACCAAGACAAUGAUCUAUAGCUGAUCUGAGAGGAUGAUCAGCCACACUGGAACUGAGAUACGGUCCAGACUCCUACGGGAGGCAGCAGUGGGGAAUAUUGGACAAUGGGCGAAAGCCUGAUCCAGCCAUGCCGCAUGAGUGAAGAAGGCCUUCGGGUUGUAAAGCUCUUUUAGUGAGGAAGAUAAUGACGGUACUCACAGAAGAAGUCCUGGCUAACUCCGUGCCAGCAGCCGCGGUAAUACGGAGAGGGCUAGCGUUAUUCGGAAUCAUUGGGCGUAAAGGGCGCGUAGGCGGGUUAGUAAGUUAAAAGUGAAAUCCCAAGGCUCAACCUUGGAACUGCUUUUAAAACUGCUAGUCUAGAGAUUGAAAGAGGAUAGAGGAAUUCCUAGUGUAGAGAUGAAAUUCGUAAAUAUUAGAGGAACACC